This 253-nucleotide ribosomal RNA is filed under the name uncultured bacterium. Its description in RNAcentral is "partial 16S ribosomal RNA". It matches the Rfam family "Bacterial small subunit ribosomal RNA", at positions 524 to 776 of the family's 1533-position model. The record is from RNAcentral.
UACGUAGGGGGCUAGCGUUGUCCGGAAUCAUUGGGCGUAAAGAGCGUGUAGGCGGCCCGGUAAGUCCGCUGUGAAAGUCAAAGGCUCAACCUUUGAAUGUCAGCGGAUACUGCCGGGCUAGAGUCCGGAAGAGGCGAGUGGAACUCCUGGUGUAGCGGUGGAAUGCGCAGAUAUCAGGAAGAACACCCGUGGCUAAGGCGGCUCUCUAGUACGGUACUGACGCUGAGACGCGAAAGCGUGGGGAGCGAACAGG